Molecule: ribosomal RNA, 253 nt
Filed under: uncultured bacterium
Lineage: Bacteria
Description: partial 16S ribosomal RNA
Rfam family: Bacterial small subunit ribosomal RNA
Source: RNAcentral
UACGUAGGGUGCGAGCGUUGUCUGGAAUUAUUGGGCGUAAAGAGCUCGUAGGCGGUCUGUCGCGUCUGCUGUGAAAUCCCGAGGCUCAACCUCGGGCCUGCAGUGGGUACGGGCAGACUAGAGUGCGGUAGGGGAGAUUGGAAUUCCUGGUGUAGCGGUGGAAUGCGCAGAUAUCAGGAGGAACACCGAUGGCGAAGGCAGAUCUCUGGGCCGUAACUGACGCUGAGGAGCGAAAGCGUGGGGAGCGAACAGG